This 253-nucleotide ribosomal RNA is filed under the name uncultured bacterium. RNAcentral describes it as "partial 16S ribosomal RNA". It matches the Rfam family "Bacterial small subunit ribosomal RNA", at positions 524 to 776 of the family's 1533-position model. The record is from RNAcentral.
UACGUAGGGGGCAAGCGUUGUCCGGAUUUAUUGGGCGUAAAGAGCGUGUAGGCGGCCCGGUAAGUCCGCUGUGAAAGUCCAGGGCUCAACCCUGGGAUGCCGGUGGAUACUGUCGGGCUCGAGUCCGGAAGAGGAGUGUGGAAUUCCUGGUGUAGCGGUGAAAUGCGCAGAUAUCGGGAAGAACACCCGUGGCGAAGGCGGCUCUCUGGGACGGUACUGACGCUGAGACGCGAAAGCGUGGGGAGCGAACAGG